UACGGGGGGGGCAAGCGUUGUUCGGAAUUACUGGGCGUAAAGGGCUCGUAGGUGGCCAACUAAGUCAGACGUGAAAUCCCUCGGCUUAACCGGGGAACUGCGUCUGAUACUGGAUGGCUUGAGUUUGGGAGAGGGAUGCGGAAUUCCAGGUGUAGCGGUGAAAUGCGUAGAUAUCUGGAGGAACACCGAUGGCGAAGGCAGCCCCCUGGGCCUGUACUGACGCUCAUGCACGAAAGCGUGGGGAGCAAACAGG
Molecule: ribosomal RNA, 253 nt
Filed under: uncultured bacterium
Lineage: Bacteria
Description: partial 16S ribosomal RNA
Rfam family: Bacterial small subunit ribosomal RNA
Source: RNAcentral